UGCCUGUCACGCAGGAGGUCGCGGGUUCGAUUCCCGUCCGUUCCGCCA
This 48-nucleotide transfer RNA is filed under the name Succinivibrio dextrinosolvens. RNAcentral's name for it is "tRNA_Asp_GTC". It matches the Rfam family "tRNA", at positions 28 to 71 of the family's 71-position model. From Rfam's summary of the family: Transfer RNA (tRNA) molecules are approximately 80 nucleotides in length. Their secondary structure includes four short double-helical elements and three loops (D, anti-codon, and T loops). The record is from RNAcentral. Lineage: Bacteria; Pseudomonadati; Pseudomonadota; Gammaproteobacteria; Aeromonadales; Succinivibrionaceae.